Molecule: long non-coding RNA, 215 nt
Filed under: Elaeis guineensis (African oil palm)
Lineage: Eukaryota; Viridiplantae; Streptophyta; Magnoliopsida; Arecales; Arecaceae
Description: long non-coding RNA (EGUI_LNC038552)
Source: RNAcentral
CCUCUCCUCUUUCUUCCUCAUUUGGGCGGUUCAAGCUUGCCCUAGAUUCCCCCUCUUUUCUCCAAAUCAGCACUUCACCUCUCUAAAAUCUUGGCUUUUCCACUAGAAUCCUUUCCUCUCUACCUCAUUUAGUCUCCUAAACUCCUUGCAAGUCCUUUUUGACCAAAUGGCUCCCAAAAUGAAGCUCUCACAGAGAAGAAAAUUUGUUCACGAGU